UUGUGAAGGUGCUGUCGUCCUCAUCGUCUAUACCAAUCACAGCUCCCUGUGAAACAAAGAACAAAAUCCUGAUAAGGCAAGCAGUGACAUCAGCAGCCUACACUCUAUCACUACACCACUGGAAUUUAAAAGCACUGACAAAUUAAAAGCAAACUGAAUACAGUAAAGAGCAGAAAGAUUCUCUGUUUAAUCACACGAUGGAUACAAAAUUUCAGACUGCAGAAGCCCAUCUGUUCAGCUGCCAGUACCACUGUCAUCUGCCAGAGGAGCUCCUUUACAAAAGAAGAAAAGAGAAACACACAAAAAACCAACCCCACACACCAUCAGAGAAAGGAUGGGGGAGUCAGCCAAUCUUCAAAAAACUGCAAAGGGUAAUGAAAACACAGCCAUCUCUGGAGCCUUGUGAACAAGAUCUUCUUGCUGUCAUCCUCUGAAGCAUCCACUUCUUUUCAGCACUAUGUUAACAAUUUCAUCUAGGUAACAUAUUGAUGUGAUUAUGACCCUCUCUAUUGUCACUGAGGCCAUUAGGCAAUGACAUCUUAUUGGCAUCCAUGGAAAAAAAAAAGAGACAGGAACAAAAAGUACCUGUCUUCACAGCAAAAAAAAUAGUAUUUGUCUGCUACAUAUUUGAGAUACAGCUACAAGAAAAGCCUGAAGCAGUCACAGCAAGUACUAAUCACUAAAGAUAACUUGAAAAUACAGCAGUCAGAGCUUCAAAUCAUAUUUUUGCUGAUCUCUUGUUCAAUUCAGUCUAAUUUGUCAAAUGUGUCAGAGUUGUUUUCUGAAUGUUAGAAACCAUCAGUAUUAAUCUACUUGUUUUCACAACAACAUGGGUUAUCUGGUCAGAAUGAAAUGGAAGUAAAGACCAGCAGUGCAUCCAUAAUGUAUUCUACAAAUAUAUCAUUUCUUUGUAGAUUUCCUGACUGAAAACUUCUACAUAGGGAAGUUUUGGGUUUUUAAUUUUUUUUAUUUAAGAGCUCAAAACCAAUAAAGGAUCUGGAAACAAAGUUACUCCAUCAGA
Molecule: long non-coding RNA, 1021 nt
Organism: Apus apus (common swift)
Lineage: Eukaryota; Metazoa; Chordata; Aves; Apodiformes; Apodidae
Exons: 3
Source: RefSeq, a predicted model, not a curated record